Molecule: ribosomal RNA, 317 nt
Filed under: uncultured eukaryote
Lineage: Eukaryota
Description: partial large subunit ribosomal RNA
Rfam family: Eukaryotic large subunit ribosomal RNA
Source: RNAcentral
AUAUUAAUAAGCGGAGGAAGAGAAACUAACGAGGAUUCCCUCAGUAACGGCGAGUGAAGCGGGAAGAGCCCAGCACCGAAUCCCCCGCCAGAAAUGGCGACGGGAACUGUGGUGUUAAGGACAGCCUACGGGGAUCGGUUGCGAGUCCGAGUCCUCCUGAUCGGGGCUUUACCCAAAGCGGGUGCAAGGCCUCUACGGCUUGCGGCCGGUUCUCGAAGGUCGUCCUAGGAGUCGGGUUGUUUGAGAUUGCAGCCCAAAGUGGGUGGUAAACUCCACCUAAGGCUAAAUACAGACACGAGACCGAUAGCGCACAAGUA